CCAAUGUCCCCUUCAAUUCCUCCAAGCUCCCACUGGAUUUUUGUUUUAUUUUCACAAAUUUUGUGAUUCCAAAGCUUCUCAUUCAACGUUACAAUUUUUUUUUUCCUCAGCCGUGCCCGGGAAUAAUGGGCACGUUCAUAAUGGCUCCUUUUUCCUGAUAAUGCUGUAUUUAAGGGGAAUAUUUAAGUGGAAAAAGAAAAACAAAUGGUUAAAUUAGAUGUGAGUCGUGGCUGAAAAAGGGGUUAAACAUUCCCCAGUGGUGAAUUCCUUCAAGGGGGGCUCUGAAAUCCCCAAAAGCAGCAGGAAGGGUGAGGAAAGGGGUGGCUCCCACCCUUUAUACCCAAAAAUGCUUCAAAAAGGAAAUUUGCAGGUGUCCCAUGGCCACCUGUGCAGCGUGUCCCUUGUGGGGCACCAGAGUCACCCCCAAAACCCCGGGGCCACCAACAUCCUGUGGACAAAGCCGGCCCGUUUUGGGGUGAAUUCCCUCUGCAGCAGGAAUUCCUCAGGCAGGGGGGGUAAAGUGGAACCCCCAAAAUCCCCAUGGGGGGAAAUGCAGGGGGAAGGUCAAAGGGGCUUCGACGAGGCUGAAUUGGGGGUGCAGUCCUGGGACCCCCACACCCGGCCCUUCCCGGCCUCCCCGUGGGCUCCACGCCCCUCCAGCCACCCCAGAACCCCAAAACCUCCCAGGAGAUCCCACAGGAACCCCAAAGAUCCCAGAAGACACAUUCCAAAGAUCCUACAGGAACAUCCUGGAAGAAAGAUCCUACAGGAACAUCCCAAAUAUCCCACAGAACAUCCAAAGAUCUCAAAGGAACAUCCCAAAUAUCCCACGGGAACAUCCCAAAGAUCCCACAGGAACAUCCCAAAGAUCUCAAAGGAACAUCCCAAAGAUCCCAGGGGAACAUCCCAAAGAGUCCCAGGGGAACAUCCAGCAGAUCCCACAGGACCAUCCCAGCUCAGGGAGCCGCUCGCUCUGCCCCAAUUAACGCGCUGCAGUUAAUUACUGGCACAGGAACUCCAGCUCUCGUGGCCGUGCCCGCGGCUCUGCAGGAGGGUCGGUGGGCGCAGGGCGGGCACGCAGGGGCACCCAGGGGUGCCCAGCAGGGCUGGGUGCUCGGGGAGUGUCACUCCGGGGGCUGCCCGGCGUUGAGGGCCAGCAGGACCAUGCUGUGGGCCAGCAGGAGACCUCCGAGGCUGCGGGGCACAGCGGGGUGAGCGACGGGCACCGGGGGCACUGGGGGCACUGGGGGCACUGGGAGAACUGGGAGAACUGGGAGAGGUGGGGCUGGGGUGGGAGUGGCACUGGGAGGCACUGGGGGGGCUGGGGUGGGCACUGGGUGGACUGGGCAAGCACUGGGGGAGACUGGAAGAGAUGGGGCUGGGAUGGGAGUGGCACUGGGAGAACUGGGAGCACUGGGAUGGGCACUGGGAGAACUGGGAGAGGUGGGGCUGGGGUGGGAGUGGCACUGGGGGCACUGGGAGAGGUGGGGCUGGGGUGGGAGUGGCAUUGGGAGAACUGGGAGCACUGGGAUGGGCACCGGGGGCACUGGGAGAACUGGGAGAGGUGGGCUGGGGUGGGAGUGGCACUGGGAGAACUGGGAGAACUGGGAGAGGUGGG
Molecule: long non-coding RNA, 1618 nt
Filed under: Taeniopygia guttata (zebra finch)
Lineage: Eukaryota; Metazoa; Chordata; Aves; Passeriformes; Estrildidae
Description: lncRNA (ENSTGUG00000019900.1)
Source: RNAcentral